UCCCAAUGCUUCACUGCUCGGCAUUAUAUAUAUUUUAUUAAUGAAAUUGGAAUUUAAGCCGAAUCUCGUGUCAGUUUCGAAGAGAUUCAGUCCAGAAAAUGUUCCGUUUAAUUGUUCUGAUAAUUUUUUGCCUCUUUACGUUCGGUUUGAAGUUUUUUUAUUCCAGAAAUAACAAAAUUAAGAUUUUUGUCCAUAUUCUGGACGUAUAAUUAAUUCGCAUUUUUACAAUUCAUUUGUAUUUUAUUUCAUGUUUCAGCUUUUUUCUACUUUCAGAAAUGUUCAAAAUCUGUUUUUUUUAUUUGAAAAAACUUGACUCUUCGAUUUGAAUUUGCUUAAAUUCCACAUUUUUCAAACAUUGUAAUCUUCUAUUUUCAGCCCAAUUCCCAUUGUCAACCAUAACUAAUUUCGUUCCAACAAAUUCAAACUCGUAUCAAAAUUGUACUCCUGCUUAUCCAGGGGUAAAAUGCAACCCGUUCCCCACUGUAUCAGAUCUUAGCUUUUCAACACUAGAGCUGUUUUUAAAUGCCCUAAUUGGUACAACAAAUUGUACAAACUAUACAGACUCAGUAAUAUUGGAUGGAACUUAUGUCAACUGUUACAUACCGGACCAAAAUCCGAAAGCUGUGAAUGGUACAACACUUGCAAAAAAUCCAAGUGGUUACAUAGAUACGUCUGCUCCAUGUACGUGGCUCAUUAUACCCGGUUGGAUGACAAAUUGUAAUAAGUCUGUCAAUAGUGUUCUAAAUGACUACAGUAAGAUAUUUAUUGCAAAUGGAUAAAGUGAGUUGAACAAAAAAAAUGGCAUGUAUCCCAGGUUUUCAGACAGACAUGGCUUGGAAUUUGAAUAAACUUGGAAAGUGCAAUGUGUUCAUUUUAAAUUAUGGAAAAUUUGUUUGUGAUAAUUACGUUUGUCUGCUAGCCUUUCUUGUUAAACGAUUGGCCUAUUUGAUAGCAGAAGCAAUUGAUGCAUCAAAUUGUGAUGUGUCCAACUUUAAUGUUUGGGGAAUUUCACUUGGAGCCGAGAUUGCUGGUUGGAUUGCUAGGUAUUUGAAAGCGAAGAAUAAAAUGCUGUCUUUAGUUGCGGUUGCCGACCCGGCUGGUCCAUUCAUGAUAGGUCAAAUGUGUGGGUUAUUUAAAAUAUUUGAAUUUUUCGAAAGUGGAUUGGGCGCAGACAUUGCUUACAAUACGGUAUGUCUUCAUUGCAAUUUAUGCUGCUUGGGAACGGGAAAUACAACUAUCGCCAAAGCUCAUAUUUUCCUCAAUGGAGGCGGACAACAACCAUGGAUACUCCCUGGAAAUGAAUUUGGAAAUCACGCAUCAUGCGCCGCUGUGAGCGCUGGAAUGACCGCGCAAUCAAAAUGUUUAGAUUCGAUAACUGGAGCCAAUUUCAACUAUUUCUUCUGUUCAGUCGCCCCAGGAAUUUAUACGUUCAAUGUGUGUCAAUGCUAUCCGUAUUGCAUGUGCAAGCCAGGCGGUUGUCCAUACAUUCCUUACUAAACUUAAUUCCAAACUAAAAACGAUGUUUUGUGUUUUUGAACUUAUAUGCAUAAGAUUUUCCACGGUAAAGAAAAAUAUAAAAAACUGUACGAGAGUGCUCACCCAGUUUGCUAUAUUUUUUACCAUUGAAAUUUUGAAAUGAACUACUUUUCAACUAUACCAUGAAAUUUACUUUUGAAUCAUCAACAUGGAGUUUCAAUAAUAAAUAAGUUUCGUUCGUCAUUAAUCAACGAUAGUUUAAUCUUCGUCGAAGAUUAUUCGAUGUAAAAAUUUUAAAGAUUCGCAACUAUUCAAUUCGCUAUUCAACAAUUUUUCAAUAAACUUAUUGAACCUAAUGCUGUCUUACGGAAAUGACGUACCAAAUUUUAAUAAGAAGCUAGAAGAAUUGCAGUUUCAAUCGAUCGUUCUAUUUUUGAUGUUGAGUUGAUAGGGUGUGUUGAUUGAAACUUUAUUUCAAAUUGUGAAAUAUGUCAUUACUUUGUAUUGAUGCGUUCGUUUCAUCUUUGAAUGUCUGUGCCGGUAUUUUAUUAUUGUAAACAACAGCACACCCCAUUGACUACGUACAUACUAAGUGUCUACGUCUAUUUGAGUUUGAAAGCUAACGUACUUUGGAGUUUUGCUCUUGAAAAUGAAGCUGUCGAUUAUUUUGCUUACAAUUCUGGCAUUUACUCUUGAACUUGGCCCGGGUUUGUUAUUAUUGGAUUAUUUUUUAAUCACACUCGAGUAUUUAUCUGUUGAACAUCGCAAUGGUGUACAACUACAUGUGGUUAUCAAACAAGUGUUUCAUUAUUGACAUAAAAUUACGAUUAAUUAAACCAAAUUACAAUUUAAUUCUAUAAAGUUAUUCAAUUUACAUCUCAAUAAUACUGAACAGAACUUUUUUGUUGAAAUAUUGAUUUUUUUUUUUCAGGUACAACAACGCCAAAGUCAAAUCAGCAUCAUUUGAUCGAAUCCGAAGAAAGACAAAGAAUGUGUGCCAUUCAGAACCAUUACUAAUUUGGAUAAAAUAACAGCCACAAUUCUGACGAGUACAUUGGUUGAUUCGGUUAAAUGCCAAAAUACUGUUCCGAAAAGCGACGAAAACCUUGUUACCAAUCCAAGAAACCAAGUGCAUUUUCAUAUAGUAGACAAUCGUAACUCACGGCUUACUCAAUCGAUGCUUCAGUGUCAAUCCAUUUAAGUCUUUGUCUCAACCCGAAAUUAAAACAAAUCGCUAUAAAUUUGGUAGGAAAUUCAAACGUUGGAUUUCGUAAGACUAUUGUCGAAAAAAGUACUGAAUAAAACCGUUUAACUCGACGAAUCAAAAUGAAGUUGAUAUUUUUGGUGGUCUCAAUCGUAUUGAUUUUGACGAAUUUCAAACGGCAAACGCAAGCUAUAGUUAGUUACAUGAACGGAACAAUCUUUGAGGCGAAAGAAGGCGAUAUUCUGUAUAUCGCUCUGAUAAAAGUACUUCAUCCGCAUACUGGACGCUUCAUGCCCAUUUGUGCUGGGGCCAUUAUCUCGGAAUACGAUGUAUUAACAAAUGCAGUCUGUGCUACUGCAUGCCAAUCUCCGCCCAAUUGUAAAUUAUACGUUGGACGUGUCAACGUUAGUGCUGAUGGUACUGAAGUUAAAAUUAACAGCACCACCUGGCACCACACUUACUGGGAGAUGGACAUGAUGGACCCUGCAAAUGAUACGCGUUUUAAUAUACUUGAUUUAGGAAUUAUUCAUACUGAACAAAUUGAAAUGUCAGAUACCGUCCAGAUCAUUGCAAUGAAUGUGAACGAUUCCGAUAUUUGUCAUAUCAUUAUUGACGUCCAUGUGACUGUAAUUUCUGGUUGGGGAGCCGAACCAGACGCAGCGUUUCUAGAUGAACCCAAAUACGGAAAAGCCAAUUGUUACUUUGGUCAAUGGGGGCCAUCAUUGUACCAUAUUGUUCAUUCAACCAAGGUACAAAUUGGCUUUAAAUCCCAUGUCAUCGGUAGCAUAAGUGAUAUGGGCGCACCAAUGGUUAGAGCUGAUUCAGAACAACUUAUUGGCGUCGGUAGCUACACGUUGUUCAUUUACGAUAAAUUUGAUGCUGAAGACAACCUACUAAUAUACUUUCCUGUCUUUGAAAAUUUAGCCUGGAUCCAGGCCCACAUGCGGGCUAACAGUGUAGAGUUUUUAUAUGAAAAAUUUAGAAAAUGAUGAAUAUUCACCAAGUAGGGUACCAUAAAACACCAUUAACAUUUGGUCUACAUGUUUAUUACUUUUGUUUUUCUCAAUUGAAAAGAUUGUCAUUUACAGAUUAAUAAAUUAGAAACUAACGUGUUAUUUUCACAGAUUCAAAGAAGAAUAAAAUAGUCCAA
Molecule: RNA transcript, 3830 nt
Organism: Sitodiplosis mosellana (orange wheat blossom midge)
Lineage: Eukaryota; Metazoa; Arthropoda; Insecta; Diptera; Cecidomyiidae
Exons: 8
Source: RefSeq, a predicted model, not a curated record